GCCAGCGUGGCGUAUUGCUUUGAGUGUUGGACUAUGACUCUGGAGACCAGGGUUCGAAUCCCCACUCGGCCA
Molecule: non-coding RNA, 72 nt
Organism: Phrynosoma platyrhinos (Desert horned lizard)
Lineage: Eukaryota; Metazoa; Chordata; Lepidosauria; Squamata; Phrynosomatidae
Source: the annotation of a GenBank genome assembly